GCGGAGGAUCAUUACUGAAGAAAUGAUAGGGUUGAGCUGACUCCUUCGGGGGUAUGUGCUUGCGCUAUCGCUUUUUCUAUUCUCCCCUGUGAACCUUUUGUAGACUGUUUUUAUGAUAUUCGACUCCUCUGGAGCUCAUUGGAGACUCGCAUUUCUUUUGAUGCUUGACUCUGCCCUUAUCAUAUAUCAGUCUAUGAUUUUUAUACAUCUACUCUUCUGUUUAUGAAUGUCUUUAUUGUUGGUUUCAUUACCAAUAAAUUAUUAUACAACUUUCAGCAACGGAUCUCUUGGCUCUCGCAUCGAUGAAGAACGCAGCGAAAUGCGAUAAGUAAUGUGAAUUGCAGAAUUCAGUGAAUCAUCGAAUCUUUGAACGCACCUUGCACUCCUUGGUAUUCCGAGGAGUAUGCCUGUUUGAGUGUCAUUAAAUUCUCAAACUUCUUCUCUUUUGAGGAGACAGUUUGGAUGUGAGAGUUGCUGGUUCUUGUUAUCAGCUCUCUUUAAAUGCAUUAGUAGUUUGGCUUUGUCCCACAUUCUCAAUUGAUGUGAUAGUUUAUCUACAUCACUAGAGAAUGAAUCUGCUUUCCAACCUUUGUCGGUCUGCUUCGGACUUGACACAUUGACAAUUUGACCUCAAAUCAGGUAGGACUACCCGCUGAACUUAA
Molecule: ribosomal RNA, 662 nt
Filed under: uncultured Tricholomataceae
Lineage: Eukaryota; Fungi; Basidiomycota; Agaricomycetes; Agaricales; Tricholomataceae
Description: eukaryotic LSU rRNA
Rfam family: 5.8S ribosomal RNA (bases 268-421)
Source: RNAcentral